RNA transcript from Dipodomys ordii (Ord's kangaroo rat), 1974 nucleotides. It is a transcript of the gene named heterogeneous nuclear ribonucleoprotein M pseudogene, with no coding region annotated. The transcript has a single exon. The record is from RefSeq and is a predicted model, not a curated record. NCBI's taxonomy places the organism in Eukaryota, Metazoa, Chordata, Mammalia, Rodentia, Heteromyidae.
AUGGCAGCAGGGCUUGAAGCAGCAGCGGAGGUGAUGGUGAUGGAGCCCAAAAUGGAAGAAGAAAGCAGCGCGGCCUGCAUGCCAAGUGACCAUGGGGCUCUGGAGGAUGAGGGAGAACGAUUGACUCAGAAUGAGAAGAGGGAGGAGAAAAACAUACAAGGAGGAGGCAGCCCCUCUGAGCCCUGUGCCAACCCAAGAAAAAGAUACAGUGCUUUCGUUACCAACAUACCUUUGGAUGUGAGAUGGCAGUCACUUAAAGACUUGGUUAAAAAAAAAGUUGGUGAGGUCACAUACGUGGAACUCUUAAUGGACGCUGAAGGCAAGUCAAGCGGAUGUGCGAUUGUUGAAUUCAAGAUGGAAGAGAGCAUGAAAAAAGCUGUUGAAGUGCUAAAUAAGCAUCGCCUGAGUGGAACACCACUGGAAGUCAAGGAAGAUCCUGACGGUGAACAUGCCUACAGAGCAAUGCGAAAGAUUGGAAGUCUUGGAAGCACAGUGUUGGUAGCAAAUCUGGAUCAUAGAAUUCGCUGGAAGAAACUGAAGAAGGUGUUUAGUAAGGUUGGUGUGGUGCUCCGAGCAGACAUUCUGAAGGAUAAAGAUGGGGAAAGUCUUGGGAAAGGCAUUGUGACUUUCAAGCAGCCCCUGGAAGCUCGGCAAGCGGUAGCUAAGCUUAAUGGCCGGCUGCUAUUUGAUAGACCAAUGCACGUCAAAAUGGAGAGGACUUUACCAAACAAAGACUUCCUUCCUGAACAUCCCCAGCAACUUCCCUAUGGACUUGGUGGUAUUAGCAUGGAUUUGGGGCCAGGAGGGCAGCCUAUUGAUGCCAAUCACCUAAGCAAAGGCAUUGGCAUGGGAAACAUAGGUCCUGCAGGAAUGGGAAUGGAAGGCAUAGGAUUUGGAAUAAAUAAAAUGGGAGGCGUGGAGGGACCCUUUGGUGGUGAUAUGGAAAACAUGGGACGAUUUGGAUCUGGGAUGAACAUGGGCCCGAUAAAUACACUGAAGAGAGGAGAGAUCAUUGCAAAGCAGGGAGGAGGUGGAGGAGGUGGCAGCAUCCCUAGGAUUGAGAGGAUUGGCCCUGGCAUUGACUACAUUAUGGGGACUGGCAUGGAGUGCAUGGGUGCUGGCCUGGGUCACAGCAUGGAUCAAAUUGGCUCUGAGAUGAGGCGCAUGGGCCGGGUCAUGAACCGCGUGGGCUCUGUCGAGCACAUGGGCUCCGGCAUUGAGCACAUGGGUCCCCUGAGUCUCGACCACACAGCCUCCAGGUUUGAGCAUAUGGGCCAGACCAUGGAGCACAUGGGUGCUGGCAUAGGCUUUGGCCUGGAGCACAUGGCUGCACCCAUUGACCAUGCGGGCCAGAUCAUUGAGCCCAUGGGCUCCGGUGUGGAGUGCAUGGGUCCUGCUAUCGACUACAUGGGCCUGAGCAUGGAGCGCAGGGUGCCCGUGGGCAUGGGGGCUGGCCGGGAGCACAUGGGCCUCGUGAUGGAUCCCAUGGCCACUGGCCUGGAGCUCAUGGGUGCCAACAACCUGGAGUGCAUGGGCCUCGAGCGCAUGGGCGCCAACAGUCUCCAGCGGAUGGGCCCUGCCAUGGGACCAGAUUCAGGUGCUGGCAUUGAGCACACGGGCCUGCCCAUGGGUAGUGGUGGCAAUGCCAUUGGGGUGGAGUGUGGACACUUUGGAGGAAGCUUUGCAGGAUCCUUUGGUGGAGCCAGAGGCUAUGUUCCCAGGGUGUCCAGAGAGGCCUGCCAGGUAUUUGUAAGAAAUCUCCCAUUUGAUUUUACUUGGAAGAUGCUAAAGGACAAAUUCAGUGAAUGUGGCCACGUGCUAUAUGCCAGCAUCAAGAUGAAGAAUGGGAAGUCUACGGGGUGUGGCUUGGUUAAGUUUGAGUCACCAGAGGUAGCUGAAAGAGCCUGCCGGAGGAUGAAUGGCAUGAACUUGAGGGGCCAGAAGAUAGAUGUUCGAAUGGAUAGAAAUGCUUAA